AGGUGCAUGGCCGUCGUCAGUUCGUACUGUGAAGCAUCCUGUUAAGUCAGGCAACGAGCGAGACCCACGCCCACAGUUGCCAGCGUACUCUCUGGAGUGACGGGUACACUGUGGGACCGCCGCUGCUAAAGCGGAGGAAGGAAUGGGCAACGGUAGGUCAGUAUGCCCCGAAUAUCCCGGGCUACACGCGAGCUACAAUGGUUGGUACAAUGGGUAUCUACCCCGAAAGGGGACGGGAAUCUCCUAAAACCAAUCUUAGUUCGGAUUGAGGGCUGCAACUCGCCCUCAUGAAGCUGGAAUCCGUAGUAAUCGCGUUUCAACAGAACGCGGUGAAUACGUCCCUGCUCCUU
RNAcentral lists this ribosomal RNA (350 nucleotides) under uncultured Methanosaeta sp. Its description in RNAcentral is "bacterial SSU rRNA". It matches the Rfam family "Archaeal small subunit ribosomal RNA", at positions 988 to 1338 of the family's 1478-position model. The record is from RNAcentral. Lineage: Archaea; Methanobacteriati; Methanobacteriota; Methanomicrobia; Methanotrichales; Methanotrichaceae.